This is a long non-coding RNA of Crotalus tigris (Tiger rattlesnake), 816 nucleotides long. RefSeq lists it as uncharacterized. The transcript has 3 exons. Lineage: Eukaryota; Metazoa; Chordata; Lepidosauria; Squamata; Viperidae. The record is from RefSeq and is a predicted model, not a curated record.
GCAUUCUUACGGCCAUUUUGUUGGCAGAAACCUGCCCCAAAGUCUGGUUUCUUGGAAAAUACACUGUAAUUGGCCUUAAAGAGAGUUAUGUGACAGUGUGGGGGGGAAACAGCAUCAGAACUCUGGAAUUGGGCUGUAAGUAAUUUGGGAGGAGCAUCUGAUCUCUGAAUGCAAAACAACUGUUUGUUAAGUGAGCAAUAUGUCAACCUAGGCCGAAGCCACCAGAACUAACAGUGGUGAACGCAUGUAAGCAGGGUAGAGAAAAGCCAGGAAAAAGAACCAAGGCAUGAAGGAAAGAACAAAAGUUUGGCCUGAGCACAUAGCAAGCCCCUCACCACAUUUGGCAACCAAGGAGUUGGGCCUGCAUGGGAAGCCUCUCCCAUCAACACUGAGGGAUCAAAAGAGAUCCUGAGGCCUGCCCAGACUUUGGGGUCAUUUUUGGAUCAGGACUUGGCAGCUUCUGUCCCUCUGGCUAAUGCCAAGCAACCUAGUUGUGGAUGUGGGAUUCCUCUGAAACCCCCACAAGCGAAGAGGGUGGCAGCUUCACCAACCCGUUGCUCCAGCAGCCAGAAACUACAGAACAGAACUUACCACAGAAGAAAAAGGGAAACCAUCUCCAUGCAAAAGGAGGUAAAACAUUGCCUAAAAAAGAAACCUCAGCAGAAGACCACAUUUAUCACUGACCAUCACAUGGCUUGUCGUCUAUUGUCAGCAAGACACCAUGACAUUAAAGAACUGAAAAAUGAAGUGGCUGUUCUGUGGAAUAAAUUGGAGACAUUUACUGUGGAAAAUAAAAUCUUGAAGCAUAUUCAAUCU